GGUCCCAAGGGUUGGGCUGUUCGCCCAUUAAAGCGGUACGCGAGCUGGGUUCAGAACGUCGUGAGACAGUUCGGUCCCUAUCCGUCGUGGGCGUAGGAAAUUUGAGAGGAGCUGUCCUUAGUACGAGAGGACCGGGAUGGACAUACCUCUGGUGUACCAGUUGUCGUGCCAACGGCAUAGCUGGGUAGCUAUGUGUGGACGGGAUAAGUGCUGAAAGCAUCUAAGCAUGAAGCCCCCCUCAAGAUGAGAUUUCCUAACUUCGGUUAUAAGAUCCCUCAAAGAUGAUGAGGUUAAUAGGUUCGAGGUGGAAGCAUGGUGACAUGUGGAGCUGACGAAUACUAAUCGAUCGAAGACUUAAUCAA
RNAcentral lists this ribosomal RNA (362 nucleotides) under Staphylococcus aureus. RNAcentral describes it as "partial 23S ribosomal RNA". It matches the Rfam family "Bacterial large subunit ribosomal RNA", at positions 2561 to 2925 of the family's 2925-position model. The record is from RNAcentral. Lineage: Bacteria; Bacillati; Bacillota; Bacilli; Caryophanales; Staphylococcaceae.